This 510-nucleotide ribosomal RNA is filed under the name uncultured bacterium. RNAcentral's name for it is "partial 16S ribosomal RNA". It matches the Rfam family "Bacterial small subunit ribosomal RNA", at positions 28 to 507 of the family's 1533-position model. The record is from RNAcentral.
GACGAACGCUGGCGGCGUGCUUAACACAUGCAAGUCGAACGAAGAGCGAUGGAAGCUUGCUUCUAUCAAUCUUAGUGGCGAACGGGUGAGUAACGCGUAAUCAACCUGCCCUUCAGAGGGGGACAACAGUUGGAAACGACUGCUAAUACCGCAUACGAUCUAAUCUCGGCAUCGAGGAUAGAUGAAAGGUGGCCUCUACAUGUAAGCUAUCACUGAAGGAGGGGAUUGCAUCUGAUUAGCUAGUUGGAGGGGUAACGGCCCACCAAGGCGAUGAUCAGUAGCCGGUCUGAGAGGAUGAACGGCCACAUUGGGACUGAGACACGGCCCAGACUCCUACGGGAGGCAGCAGUGGGGAAUCUUCCGCAAUGGACGAAAGUCUGACGGAGCAACGCCGCGUGAGUGAUGACGGCCUUCGGGUUGUAAAGCUCUGUUAAUCGGGACGAAAGGCCUUCUUGCGAAUAGUGAGAAGGAUUGACGGUACCGGAAGAGAAAGCCACGGCUAACUACGUG